UGGUAGUGAAGAAAGAUAGAGGUAGUAACUGGCCUUUAUUUGACGGUAAUUACCUAGAAAGUCACGGCUAACUACGUGCCAGCAGCCGCGGUAAUACGUAGGUGGCAAGCGUUGUCCGGAUUUAUUGGGCGUAAAGCGAGUGCAGGCGGUUCAAUAAGUCUGAUGUGAAAGCCUUCGGCUCAACCGGAGAAUUGCAUCAGAAACUGUUGAACUUGAGUGCAGAAGAGGAGAGUGGAACUCCAUGUGUAGCGGUGGAAUGCGUAGAUAUAUGGAAGAACACCAGUGGCGAAGGCGGCUCUCUGGUCUGCAACUGACGCUGAGGCUCGAAAGCAUGGGUAGCGAACAGGAUUAGAUACCCUGGUAGUCCAUGCCG
RNAcentral lists this ribosomal RNA (373 nucleotides) under uncultured bacterium. RNAcentral's name for it is "bacterial SSU rRNA". It matches the Rfam family "Bacterial small subunit ribosomal RNA", at positions 434 to 802 of the family's 1533-position model. The record is from RNAcentral.